This 76-nucleotide transfer RNA is filed under the name Rattus norvegicus (Norway rat). It matches the Rfam family "tRNA". Rfam says of the family: Transfer RNA (tRNA) molecules are approximately 80 nucleotides in length. The record is from Rfam by way of RNAcentral. Lineage: Eukaryota; Metazoa; Chordata; Mammalia; Rodentia; Muridae.
GGGGAUUUAGCUCAGUGGUAGAGCGCUUGCCUAGCAAGUGCAAGGCACAAGGCCCUGGGUUCGGUCCCCAGCUCCG